Molecule: long non-coding RNA, 366 nt
Filed under: Nicotiana benthamiana
Lineage: Eukaryota; Viridiplantae; Streptophyta; Magnoliopsida; Solanales; Solanaceae
Description: long non-coding RNA (NBEN_LNC014961)
Source: RNAcentral
UGUCCGGCAACUUCACACUUCUCCAUUACGUACUGCUUGCAUUCAUUUCCCCAAGACAGCACUUCCAAGUGUGACCCAUGUUUAUCCAAAUUCGGAGUAACAAUAUCAUCCAACCAGACUUUAGGCUUCGCUUCCACCAUAGCCGCAAGGAAAAUCUCAUCAUUCUGCUUCACGCCCAUGUUAAUCACCGUGGCGGAGUUUAUAGAAACCUUCUGUUGAUUGUUUUCCCUUCUAUUAGGAUAAACAGCCUUUAUAAAAUCAGGAGCCGCACCAUUCAUAAUCAUUACUCCGUCCAAAUGAGGCAUUGGAACGAAGCAAUGUUUCUUCAUAAAGUCGAUUCCGAGGAUCACCUCAAAAUCUUCUNNN